CCUACGGGGGGCAGCAGUGGGGAAUAUUGCGCACUGGGCGAAAGCCUGAAGCAGCGACGCCGCGUGAGGGAUGAAGGUCUUCGGAUCGUAAACCUCUGUCAGCAGGGAAGCACGGUCACUGUGCUAAUCAGCAGUGAAUUGACGGUACCUGCAAAGGACGCACCGGCUAACUCCGUGCGAGCAGCUGCAGUAAUACGGAGGGUGCGAGCGUUAAUCGGUAUUAAUGGGCGUAAACCGCUCGUGGGCGGUAUGUCAAGUCAAGGGUGAAAUCCCCGCGCUCAACGUGGGAACGGCCUUUGAAACUGGCAAACUGGAGUGUGUUGGAGGAUAGUGGAAUUCCAGGUGUAGGGGUGAAAU
Molecule: ribosomal RNA, 357 nt
Filed under: uncultured bacterium
Lineage: Bacteria
Description: partial 16S ribosomal RNA
Rfam family: Bacterial small subunit ribosomal RNA
Source: RNAcentral